Molecule: ribosomal RNA, 468 nt
Filed under: uncultured bacterium
Lineage: Bacteria
Description: partial 16S ribosomal RNA
Rfam family: Bacterial small subunit ribosomal RNA
Source: RNAcentral
GACGAACGCUGGCGGCGUGCUUAACACAUGCAAGUCGAACGGAAAGGCCCUGCUUUUGUGGGGUGCUCGAGUGGCGAACGGGUAAGUAACACGUGAGUAACCUGCCCUUGACUUUGGGAUAACUUCAGGAAACUGGGGCUAAUACCGGAUAGGAGCUCCUGCUGCAUGGUGGGGGUUGGAAAGUUUCGGCGGUUGGGGAUGUACUCGCGGCGUAUCAGCUUGUUGGUGGGGUAGUGGCUUACCAAGGCUUUGACGGGUAGCCGGCAGGAGAGGGUGACCGGCCACAUUGGGACUGAGAUACGGCCCAGACUCCUACGGGAGGCAGCAGUGGGGAGUAUUGCACAACGGGGGGAAGCGUGAUGCAGAAACGCCGCGUGCGGGAUGACGGCCUUCGGGUUGCAAAACGCUUUCGCCUGUGACGAAGCGUGAGUGACGGUAAUGGGUAAAGAAGCACCGGCUAACUACGUG